CUGAGCUCUGAGGACUAGAACCUCAGUUUGCACUUGAACUAUGAGAUCAGUGACAGGAAUAACGAUUCUCCUGACCUUGGGUAUUAUGGGCGAUGCUAAGUCCACACAGCCAGAUGCAAUGGAGAGUACUGAAGGAAAACCCGUGCAGCUGCCCUGUAACCACUCUGAAAUCACUGGAAGUGAGUACAUAAUCUGGUAUCGACAGAUUCCCCACCAGGGUCCGGAGCAUGUGAUUGAAAGUGUAAGAGACAAUAAGACCAAUGGAAUGGCCACGCUGAUCAUCCCAACAGACAGAAAGUCCAGUACCUUGAUCCUGCCCCAGGUUACCCUGAGAGACGCUGCUGUGUACUACUGCAUCGUGAGAGACCCACAGUGCGAGGGAUGGGGCUGCACCUGUUCAAUAUCUCCCUGGGGGGGAAGGGAAGCUGCAGCAGCAUCUAAGGAGGCCAGUGCAUGAGACUGAGGAGAAGCUCAACAGAACAAGAAGAAAAGUA
Rhinolophus ferrumequinum (greater horseshoe bat) is the source of this 494-nucleotide non-coding RNA. The record is from the annotation of a RefSeq genome assembly. NCBI's taxonomy places the organism in Eukaryota, Metazoa, Chordata, Mammalia, Chiroptera, Rhinolophidae.